Molecule: ribosomal RNA, 599 nt
Filed under: Hygrotus turbidus
Lineage: Eukaryota; Metazoa; Arthropoda; Insecta; Coleoptera; Dytiscidae
Description: SSU rRNA
Rfam family: Eukaryotic small subunit ribosomal RNA
Source: RNAcentral
UUGUCUCAAAGAUUAAGCCAUGCAUGUCUCAGUACAAGCCUAAUUAAGGUGAAACCGCGAAAGGCUCAUUAAAUCAGUUAUGGUUCCUUAGAUCGUACCCACAUUUACUUGGAUAACUGUGGUAAUUCUAGAGCUAAUACAUGCAAACAGAGCUCCGACCGGAGACGGGAGGAGUGCUUUUAUUAGAUCAAAACCAAUCGGCGGCGGGCGCGUUCGCGCGUCCGUUCGCCGCUCAAACUGGUGACUCUGAAUAACUUUCCGCUGAUCGCACGGUCUCGCACCGGCGACGCAUCUUUCAAAUGUCUGCCUUAUCAACUGUCGAUGGUAGGUUCUGCGCCUACCAUGGUCGUAACGGGUAACGGGGAAUCAGGGUUCGAUUCCGGAGAGGGAGCCUGAGAAACGGCUACCACAUCCAAGGAAGGCAGCAGGCGCGCAAAUUACCCACUCCCGGCACGGGGAGGUAGUGACGAAAAAUAACGAUACGGGACUCAUCCGAGGCCCCGUAAUCGGAAUGAGUACACUUUAAAUCCUUUAACGAGGAUCAAUUGGAGGGCAAGUCUGGUGCCAGCAGCCGCGGUAACUCCAGCUCCAAUAGCGUA